UGGGGAAUAUUGGACAAUGGGCGCAAGCCUGAUCCAGCCAUGCCGCGUGAGUGAUGAAGGCCUUAGGGUUGUAAAGCUCUUUCACCCACGACGAUAAUGACGGUAGUGGGAGAAGAAGCCCCGGCUAACUUCGUGCCAGCAGCCGCGGUAAUACGAAGGGGGCUAGCGUUGUUCGGAAUCACUGGGCGUAAAGCGCGCGUAGGCGGACCGUUAAGUCGGAGGUGAAAGCCUGGAGCUCAACUCCAGAACUGCCUUCGAUACUGGCGGUCUCGAGUCCGGGAGAGGUGAGUGGAACUGCUAGUGUAGAGGUGAAAUUCGUAGAUAUUAGCAAGAACACCAGUGGCGAAGGCGGCUCACUGGCCCGGUACUGACGCUGAGGUGCGAAAGCGUGGGGAGCAAACA
RNAcentral lists this ribosomal RNA (402 nucleotides) under uncultured bacterium. RNAcentral describes it as "bacterial SSU rRNA". It matches the Rfam family "Bacterial small subunit ribosomal RNA", at positions 355 to 774 of the family's 1533-position model. RNAcentral also lists the same sequence under 1 other name. The record is from RNAcentral.